Triticum aestivum (bread wheat) is the source of this 3329-nucleotide long non-coding RNA. RefSeq lists it as uncharacterized. The record is from RefSeq and is a predicted model, not a curated record. NCBI's taxonomy places the organism in Eukaryota, Viridiplantae, Streptophyta, Magnoliopsida, Poales, Poaceae. The transcript is spliced from 9 exons.
UAGCAGCCCGAGCCAGACGACCAGACGACCAGACCUAGCCACGCGACGUGAGUUCCAGACCUCCAGGGAGCCGAGGCAGCCGCCGCCACCGGCCGGUGACUCCCCUCCAGUCCCCUGCUCGGCUGCUCCCCUCCCCUGACUUCGGCGCUCCCAUCCAGUCCCCUGCAGGCUGCAGCCCUGCUCGCCUGCUCGGCUGCGCUCCUCGCCUGGCUCGCCUGCUCUGCUUCUCCAGCCGGGCGCGGGGCGCCGCCGCGCCGGCUCUGCUCCUGCGCUGCUCCACCCUCCAGUCCUGCCGGCCUCUCCCGCCUCCCGGUCUCCCCCGGGCAACUGCUGCCCCGACUGCAGCCGAGAAUUAAAAGAUGAAGAUAUUUUAUUCAUCGGUGGCCGCAAUGGAAGUGUCUAAAUUUUUGGUGCAAUUGAGCCAUAUUUGAGAUAUUCUUUUGAGGUAGCUAUAGCCUGAUGGACGUUAAGUUUUUCUCUCGCGACGAAUUUUUUUUUUUGGGCCCGGGGCUUGCUCCAAUCCUGGCUCCGCCACUGGUCCCAGCUAUGUCCGACCUUUCUCAUUCCCUUCACUCUCAUCAGCUCCUCCUCUCGGUUUGAUUAGCCUCCCCAUCUGUCCACACUGCCAGUCCCUGGUUUCUACAGGUUUGUGAGACUUCAAGGUUUACAAGCUAGUGUGGCUUUAGUUGAGUGAGUGGAGACAGGUCAGGAAUCACCUCCCUAUUCAGCUAGGCUACACCAUCUUGAGAUUCAACCUGAACCAUGUUCCUUGAAAAGACAAGAGUAAACGGGAAAACUUACUUUGGGUUCAUAUGAUGCAGACCAAGAAUAAACGGUGCAGAUUUGGCUAGCAGCAAAAGAUGAAUGAAUAUAGUGAUGGAAAGCCAAAUUUAAAGUGUUAGCGGGAAACAUUGUGAUGCUCAGAUCUUAUGUGCCUAUUUUGAGAGCAGAAAAAUACGGAAAAUCAGCAUCUGAAGCUAAAUAAAAUGCACACACUAUCCUCUUCUUCUGUGUAGGUACUGAUCUUGGUGUCGAUUCCUACCUGAGCCAUCAGACACAACUUCGGUUGGUCAUAGGUUUCUUGGCUCUUUAGGUAUGUGUGCUAGCACUUCAUUAAGGGUUUAGAUGACCAUGCACAGGGUACAUCUUCUCCUUUCUCCCCAUGUACUUAAUUAGCUUGUGCAAUGAAUGCUGAAUUUGGACAAUAGUGAUUUAUUUGUGCAGUCCAUGCUUAAAAAUUGAAAAACGAAAAGAUGACAUGAUGGGUUUCAACAGUGAUAGUGGUUGUUUAACUCUCCUUUGUUGAACUGCACUAUUUUGUCUACUAAAUUAUGGUCAAUAUUCGCUUCAACGCCGGUUGUAUUCACCUCAAUGCGGGUUAAAAUGAAGUAAAUAUUGUUCUGUAUUUCUGUGCUCCCGUUGUAUUCACUUCAACGCCGGUUGCAAUUUUCUACGAAAAUGACUUCUGAGACUUGUAUUAAAUGUUUUUAACAUCUGGUGGACCUUUUUGAUUUAGAGGAUUUGGGCCAGGGAUUCAAGAACUAAUGGUUUUCAUCCACACGUGUUUUAUUACGAUGCUAUCAAAAGCAGGGGUACAUUUCCUUAUGUUCACUUCCCUUUCUAUCUUAUGAAUAAAUUUGAAACAUUCUUCUGUUUUGCACUGUAGUUUAAUUUAGGAGUCAGGAUUGCCAACUCAUUAAGCAUCUAUGAAGUUACAAUCAAAUGUGUACAUAGUUAGAUAUCUUUGCCCAUUUUUUAACCUUGAAUGACAGUUGAGAGAAGCUCCCACUGCCUUAUAAAAUAAAAUCUUGCUUUACAUAAUUACAUUGGUUGGUUGUUGAGGGAACUCCCAACCAGAGGGGUAGUUGCAAAGGAAAACUAGAAAAGAAACUAGGGCCUAGGCGGGGGCAAGUGGAUAGGGUGACUCAGAGAGAGUCCACAAACGAGGUAAUGAAGGGUACUAGCCAUUGUGCAAAACUUGAUGGAUGGCCCAUAUAUUGCUUGUUUAACAGAUGAAAUUCAAGAAUUUAUGGCAUGCAUAAUAUUUGAUUAUAAUGAUCUGUACAUAUACAUUAUGCAUAUGCUAACUGCAGUAGCGACAAAGAGUGGCUGGUGAGUGUGAAACAGAGCGCUUUGCACGCGCCAGCACGAUCAUGUGCAUGCCAGAUCAAUUUUGAAGCCUGGCUGAUGAAUGGCUAGCUUAUAUGGUUCUGUUCUUGUAGGCUGAGGUUUUCUUUCUUGGGCAACUGAGGCAGAAGAACCUGGUAAAUUGGUUGAGCAGUGCUAUGAGGAUGAACACAGGAUGCUGGUGUACAAGUUCAUGAGCAUUGGGAGCCCUAAGACACACCUCUUCAAAAGUAUAAAUUGCUCCCUUCCGUGGAUGACAAGGAUAAAAAUCGACAAGGAUGAAGAUUGCUAUUGGCGCGGCUAAGGGACUUUCUUGAUGCUAUCUCGCCAGUGAUCUACAAGGCCUACAACGUCUUGCUCGACUCGCGCGGGCUAUAACGUCAGUCUGAGCCUCCACGAGCUCGAUGCCCUCAGGGACCAGCACUCUACACGCUUGCCGAUGCAGUGGUCGUUUAGGUUGACUCGACGACUAGGUAGCAGCAGGAGCGGAUGUGAAAAAGCGGUGGUCAUCGAGGUCAACUUGACCUGCUAAGGGCCCGUUCGGAUCGUCUCCAGCUUCUAGCUUCGUCAUCUCCGCGCAUGGAGCAGGCCCGAACGCCGCAACUCCUAGAAGCUGGCUUCGUGGAGCAGCGUUGCCUCGCAGUGCAAAAACAAGAAGCAGCUCGAACCCGGCUCCCAAAAAUCGGAGGAGACGGAGUUGGGCAUUAUUACCCGAUAUGCCACCGCCAAGUGACCUCCGAGCAAUGUACCGGUUCACUCGAUCUGUUCUUUCUCUCCCCGAUACGUCCUCUCGCAGCGCCCUUGCAUAACUGGGCCAUCAACAGCUUGCCCUGGUACCAGCUGAAAGGGCCCAAUCGACCUUUCUGGGUUGGCAACUCAUGCUGACCAAGCUGGAGCUGCCUCGCGCGGCCGAACGAUCGCUAGCUCCUCGCGGAAGCUAGCUGCGCUGGCUCCCGUAAGAAGCUGGCCUAAACAGAAGCCAGCGAGCUUCCGAACACGCCCUUAGUGUGCAUUUGCUUUUGAAGCACUUCUCUUCUUCGUAAUCAGUCAAUUAGGCUACAAAACUGCUACUUCUCUGUUCAUAUACGCUUAUCAAUAUGUAUGAUGCUCUCACAUAAUGUAUUUUGUGAAUGUGCACUGCCAGUAUUGCAUUUCUACUGCUGUAUUUUAUUUUCCCAAUCAGUAAGAUGGUACUGUUACUA